GACGAACGCUGGCGGCGUGCUUAACACAUGCAAGUCGAACGGAAAGGCCCUGCUUGUGUGGGGUGCUCGAGUGGCGAACGGGUGAGUAACACGUGAGUAACCUGCCCUUGACUGUGGUAUAACUGCAGGAAACUGGGGCUAAUACCGGAUAGGAGCUCCUGCUGCAUGGGGGUGGUUGGAAAGUUUCGUCGGGUGGGGAUGGACUCGCGGCUUAUCAGCUUGUUGGUGGGGUAGUGGCUUACCAAGGCUUUGACGGGUAGCCGGCCUGAGAGGGUGACCGGCCACAUUGGGACUGAGAUCCGGCCCGGACUCCUACGGGAGGCAGCAGUGGGGAAUAUUGCACAAUGGGCGGAAGCCUGAUGCAGCAACGCCGCGUGCGGGAUGACGGCCUUCGGGUUGUAACCCGCUUUCGCAUGUGACGAAGCGUGAGUGACGGUAAUGGGUAAAGAAGCACCGGCUAACUACGUG
RNAcentral lists this ribosomal RNA (468 nucleotides) under uncultured bacterium. RNAcentral's name for it is "partial 16S ribosomal RNA". It matches the Rfam family "Bacterial small subunit ribosomal RNA", at positions 28 to 507 of the family's 1533-position model. The record is from RNAcentral.